Oncorhynchus tshawytscha (Chinook salmon) is the source of this 354-nucleotide long non-coding RNA. The record is from Ensembl. NCBI's taxonomy places the organism in Eukaryota, Metazoa, Chordata, Actinopteri, Salmoniformes, Salmonidae.
AAAUUACACUCCUAGUUAAGAAUGAGGCUUUUCGUCUGCUGGGCUUGCUGGAGCCCUGGACCACUACAAGCAGAAGGUGAACAUCGACCAGUCACGAGACGCCUCGGCUGUCAGCCUCUCGGAUUCCAAGUCCAGCCAGGACACCGAGAGCGAGCUGAUCAAGGGGUCGAAAAUGUAGUUUUUGCCAGAUGUUCACUGUCUGGGGACCAGGCCGUGAAGCGUUAUUGCUGGCAAUUGUCCAUGACCAGAGGUAAUUAAACUGUUCUAUGUUCUUUUUCUCUCCAUCUCAUCCUGGUCUUGUUGUACAUGGAACCUGUCUCGCAUGCAUUAACUAAAAAAACCUUAAGAUGUCAG